AUGCAGCUCGUCUCCUGGGGCCGGACCGCCGUUAACAUUAACGGUGAGAUUGGUCCCUUCUUCCCCACGCUUUGUGGGGUCCGACAAGGCGACCCAUUCUCUCCGUUCUUGUUUAACAUGGUGGUGGACGCCCUUGCGGCCAUCCUGGACAAGGCCAAGUUGGCGGGCCAUAUCCACGGCGUGGUUCCCCACCUAGUAGGAGGGGGAGGGGUUUCCCUCCUUCAAUAUGCCGACGACACCAUAAUAAUGGUUGAGGGCUCCGCGUCCGAUAUUGCCAACCUGAAGUUUCUCCUCCUAUGCUUCCAACAGAUGUCCGGGCUCACUAUCAACUUUGACAAAAGCGAAGUGAUGGUUCUGGGAUACACACCGGACGAGGCCCUGGGCAUUGCUGACCGGCUUAAUUGCCGCCUGGGUACUUUCCCCAUGACAUAUUUGGGGAUACCCAUUAGUGACUCGCGACUCACCAUGGCAGACCUCCGCCCAACUGUGACCUGGAUGCAACACCGGGUUGAGCCCUGGAAGGGGCGGUGGCUCUCGAAGGCGGCGAUGGUAAUCCUCAUCAACUCCUCGCUUGCUAGCCUCCUCUGGUUCCUCAUGAGCUUCUACAGCUUGCAUGAGACGCUCCAUCAGGAGAUCGCCAAGUACCAGUCCAGAUUUUUCUGGGCAGGCGAGGGAGACAAGCAGAAGUACCAUAUGGUGAGCUGGCCGAACAUUUGCAAACCUAAGGACCAGGGCGGUCUUUGGAUCCUUUCUUCUUGGCGCAUGAAGAUCGCUCUCCUGACCCGUUGGCUCUGGCGUAUCGCCAACGAGGAGGGCGGCCUCUGGCUCACUAUCCUCCGAAAUAAGUACCUUCGGGGCCAACCUCUUGCCUUUGCCAGCGCUCGGGUGGAUCCCAGUUCUGGCAGGCGGUGA
Molecule: ribosomal RNA, 912 nt
Filed under: Triticum aestivum (bread wheat)
Lineage: Eukaryota; Viridiplantae; Streptophyta; Magnoliopsida; Poales; Poaceae
Description: partial small subunit ribosomal RNA
Source: RNAcentral